This 468-nucleotide ribosomal RNA is filed under the name uncultured bacterium. RNAcentral's name for it is "partial 16S ribosomal RNA". It matches the Rfam family "Bacterial small subunit ribosomal RNA", at positions 28 to 507 of the family's 1533-position model. The record is from RNAcentral.
GACGAACGCUGGCGGCGUGCUUAACACAUGCAAGUCGAACGGAAAGGCCCUGCUUUUGUGGGGUGCUCGAGUGGCGAACGGGUGAGUAACACGUGAGUAACCUGCCCUUGACUUUGGGAUAACUUCAGGAAACUGGGGCUAAUACCGGAUAGGAGCUCCUGCUGCAUGGUGGGGGUUGGAAAGUUUCGGCGGUUGGGGAUGGACUCGCGGCUUAUCAGCUUGUUGGUGGGGUAGUGGCUUACCAAGGCUUUGACGGGUAGCCGGCCUGAGAGGGUGACCGGCCACAUUGGGACUGAGAUACGGCGCAGACUCCUACGGGAGGCAGCAGUGGGGAAUAUUGCACAAUGGGCGGAAGCCUGAUGCAGCAACGCCGCGUGCGGGAUGACGGCCUUCGGGUCGUAAACCGCUUUCGCCUGUGACGAAGCGUGAGUGACGGUAAUGGGUAAAGAAGCACCGGCUAACUACGUG